Molecule: ribosomal RNA, 286 nt
Filed under: uncultured fungus
Lineage: Eukaryota; Fungi
Description: partial small subunit ribosomal RNA
Rfam family: Eukaryotic small subunit ribosomal RNA (bases 167-286)
Source: RNAcentral
GGCCACCGGAGAGGGCGGGCCAUGAGGCUUUAGCUUUCGCUCGGGUGGUCAAAAACUUUUCCGGAGUGGACCGCAUGCACUUUACUGGGCGUGCCGGGGAACAAAAUUGUUUGCGGGAUAGUUGGUGGCCUCGUGUCGCUGUUCGUCCCGUAGACAAUCCCGCUCCGGACUUUUACUUUGAAAAAAUUAGAGUGUUCAAAGCAAGCGUUUUCGCUGUUGAAUAUCUUAGCAUGGAAUAAUAAAAUAUGACUUUGGUCGUGUUUUGUUGGUUUUAAGGGCCGAAGUA